This 465-nucleotide ribosomal RNA is filed under the name uncultured soil bacterium. RNAcentral describes it as "bacterial SSU rRNA". It matches the Rfam family "Bacterial small subunit ribosomal RNA", at positions 35 to 510 of the family's 1533-position model. The record is from RNAcentral.
GCUGGCGGCGUGCUUAAUACAUGCAAGUCGAACGGGGUCCAACCGGUGGCAACACCGGGGAAGACCUAGUGGCGAACGGGUGAGUAACACGUGAGCAACCUGCCCCGAAGACCGGGAUAACACCGGGAAACUGGUGCUAAUACUGGAUACCCCCACCGGGCCGCAUGACCUGGUGAGGAAACGAAUUUCGCUUCGGGAGGGGCUCGCGGGCUAUCAGCUUGUUGGUGGGGUAACGGCCUACCAAGGCAGCGACGGCUAGCUGGUCUGAGAGGACGACCAGCCACACUGGGACUGAGACACGGCCCAGACUCCUACGGGAGGCAGCAGUAGGGAAUCUUGCGCAAUGGGCGAAAGCCUGACGCAGCAACGCCGCGUGGGGGAUGAAGGCUCUCGGGUUGUAAACCCCUUUCAGCAGGGACGAAAUUGACGGUACCUGCAGAAGAAGCCCCGGCCAACUACGUGCCA